GGGUGCAUAAUUUAGUGGUUCGAAUACUCGUCUUCCAAACGAGAUACCCGGGUUCGAUUCCCGGUGCACUCA
The sequence is a transfer RNA, 72 nucleotides long. It matches the Rfam family "tRNA". From Rfam's summary of the family: Transfer RNA (tRNA) molecules are approximately 80 nucleotides in length. Their secondary structure includes four short double-helical elements and three loops (D, anti-codon, and T loops). Further hydrogen bonds mediate the characteristic L-shaped molecular structure. tRNAs have two regions of fundamental functional importance: the anti-codon, which is responsible for specific mRNA codon recognition, and the 3' end, to which the tRNAs corresponding amino acid is attached (by aminoacyl-tRNA synthetases). tRNAs cope with the degeneracy of the genetic code in two manners: having more than one tRNA (with a specific anti-codon) for a particular amino acid; and 'wobble' base-pairing, i.e. permitting non-standard base-pairing at the 3rd anti-codon position. The record is from Rfam.